GAUGAACGCUGGCGGCAUGCCUAACACAUGCAAGUCGAACGGACUUAGAUGAAACCUAGUGAUUCUAAGUUAGUGGCGGACGGGUGAGUAACGCGUGGGUAACCUGCCUCACACUGGGGGAUAACAGUUAGAAAUGACUGCUAAUACCGCAUAAGUGCACAGGAUCGCAUGGUCUAGUGUAAAAAACUCCGGUGGUGUGAGAUGGACCCGCGUCUGAUUAGCUAGUUGGUGAGGUAACGGCCCACCAAGGCGACGAUCAGUAGCCGGCCUGAGAGGGUGAACGGCCACAUUGGGACUGAGACACGGCCCAAACUCCUACGGGAGGCAGCAGUGGGGAAUAUUGCACAAUGGGGGAAACCCUGAUGCAGCAAUGCCGCGUGAGUGAAGAAGUAUUUCGGUAUGUAAAAGCUCUAUCAGCAGGG
RNAcentral lists this ribosomal RNA (422 nucleotides) under uncultured bacterium. Its description in RNAcentral is "bacterial SSU rRNA". It matches the Rfam family "Bacterial small subunit ribosomal RNA", at positions 28 to 444 of the family's 1533-position model. The record is from RNAcentral.